UCUAUAAAAGAUGGUCUAAUAUGAUGACAAGUGUCCCAAAAGUGGUUUGUUUUAUUAUAUAGUUUAGAUAGAUGUGUCAAACUACCAAAAAAGUAUUGGUUUAAAAAGAAGCGGGUCACAGGUCGAAUGGCAUCUCAACCGCAGUUGAAUGCAUAGAACCUCUAAAACAUUUGUUCGACGAGCCUUUAUUUUCAAAUUCGACCUUGAUUCAUUGAUUGAUACUUCGAGCUCGACUCGACUAAGGUUAGUAUUACUCAACUCAAUACUCGACUAGACAGUAUUACUUAACACGACACUUGAGCUCCACUUGAUCUUGAUUCAACCAAACACGGGCCUAUUUCAAGUAUUUUUCGAGCUGAUCCCAACUUCUAAGACAAAGUUGAACAUGCAAUGGUUGCUAGCUAGUAUUAUUAUACAAUGGCAACGAUCCGACCCGUUACUAUAAACUGUUUUAACCACCAACCAACCGUUGUACAUCGAGACCAAACAAAAAACAAACAUGGGGUACAGGGGCGGAGCUUAUGUUCACUAUGGAACUAUAACUUUAUCAUUAUUUCUAUUAAUUAGAUAGCCUUAGGCAUGAGUUUCAUAAGUCAUACUAUAUCUAGACCACCAUUAGAUUCAAAAGUACAACACAUCCAUAUUAUGACUCUUGACUCUUGACUUUGACUCUAUCUACAAAACUUUCAUACUUUUAAGCUGUAACUAGAUGACUAGCUCCCUUUAACGGAAGCAUGCAAGAGUACGUCACAUACUUCACACUGUCUAACAAAACCACGACAAAUAUUCUCGAAAACGACUUACCCUUGGCGCCGCCACCCAUCACACCGUCCACAUCACCGCCAUCCCCCGCCUCACGGGGAUCAAACAACACAGAAACCACCAUCGGUGAGACAGAAUUGUUUUUGUGGUGCGGUUCGUUGUGGUUUGAGUCGUGAUCGUUUGCUUCUGUCGCCGCCGACACUUGUUCUUUUGUGAGGUUAACGGCGGAAGUGGAAAGGGGAACCGGAAGACCGUGGAGGAUUCUUCGGUUUUUCAUGGUGCUGAUGUAAGUUGAGUUGUGGUGGUUUUCAGUGGCGGUGAUGUUGACUACUGAUGUGGCGGGAACUAUGGCUGACGAUACGUCAAACUGAAAUACUUCGGUGCACAUGCCGGAACUCAACAUAGGUCCUGUGCCUUCGCGAAACCACUGUUGCAAUUUACCAUCAGCAUGUUUCGACUUCAAAUUCUCCUUAUCUGAUGCCAGAGCCCUUUGAUGAUCACUUGAAGACCUAUACAUAUGUGGUUGUCUUCCACCGUUCAAUUUUACCGCUGGAAUAGAAAUCGCAGGGACCAAAUCUUGCGAAACCGCCAAACCGAGAUCUUCUUUUUUACUCAUCCCUUGUUCUUCCCUAGACGCCAUAGCUUUCUCACUCGCUAGAACCGAAUGGAUUAUCAGAUUCCCGUCGAUUUUCACAAGCUUAUCGUUCCUCGGAACGUAAAGAGACGCCACAAGCGGCUCACUCGCGUUACGAUUAGUCCCGUUUAAAUGAUCGUCACUCAUCAACACUCUUCCAUGAUGUUGCUGAUUGUAUAUCUUAUAAUCAUUAGACUUAACGGAAUAAACACCAUUUGUUACUACUCCACCUAACUUGACAUUCAUUAUCGGAACUAACCCACCAAACAGCAAGAUAAAUAACAACAAUCCGACAAAACUAAUGCCCGCAACCCUUUUAGUUUUCGUUUUAGUUUUCGAUACACCUUCAGAACCUUUCUUUACCUCAACCUUCUUAGAUUUCUGCGAAGAUGCCGGUUGUUGAGGCUUCAAUCGCGGUAUUGGGACUAACGGCACUUGAGACCCCUGCGGUUUAACAACGUAAGGCGGACAAGGCAUCCAUGGAUAUCCCGUUGGCGCCAUCCCAGGGUGCG
This 1908-nucleotide long non-coding RNA is filed under the name Helianthus annuus (common sunflower). RNAcentral's name for it is "hypothetical non coding rna". The record is from RNAcentral. Lineage: Eukaryota; Viridiplantae; Streptophyta; Magnoliopsida; Asterales; Asteraceae.